AUUGAACGCUGGCGGCAGGCCUAACACAUGCAAGUCGAACGCGUGGCGGACGGGUGAGUAAUGUCUGGGAAACUGCCCGAUGGAGGGGGAUAACUACUGGAAACGGUAGCUAAUACCGCAUCCCAUCGGCUGUGCCCAGAUGGUAUUAGCUAGUAGGUGGGGUAACGGCUCACCUAGGCGACGAUCCCUAGCUGGUCUGAGAGGAUUACCAGCCAAACGGGAACUGAGGCACGGUCCAGACUCCUACGGGAGGCAGCAGUGGGGAAUAUUGCACAAUGGGCGCAAGCCUGAUGCAGCCAUGCCGCGUGUAUGAAGAAGGCCUUCGGGUUGUAAAGUCCUUUCAGCGAGGAGGCGUUACUCGCAGAAGAAGCACCGGCUAACUCCGUGCCAGCAGCCGCGGUAAUAC
This 406-nucleotide ribosomal RNA is filed under the name uncultured bacterium. RNAcentral describes it as "partial 16S ribosomal RNA". It matches the Rfam family "Bacterial small subunit ribosomal RNA", at positions 30 to 526 of the family's 1533-position model. The record is from RNAcentral.